This 260-nucleotide ribosomal RNA is filed under the name Rossellomorea aquimaris. RNAcentral's name for it is "Bacillus aquimaris partial 16S ribosomal RNA". It matches the Rfam family "Bacterial small subunit ribosomal RNA", at positions 1281 to 1533 of the family's 1533-position model. RNAcentral also lists the same sequence under 1 other name. The record is from RNAcentral. Lineage: Bacteria; Bacillati; Bacillota; Bacilli; Caryophanales; Bacillaceae.
ACCGUUCUCAGUUCGGAUUGCAGGCUGCAACUCGCCUGCAUGAAGCUGGAAUCGCUAGUAAUCGCGGAUCAGCAUGCCGCGGUGAAUACGUUCCCGGGCCUUGUACACACCGCCCGUCACACCACGAGAGUUUGUAACACCCGAAGUCGGUGAGGUAACCUUUUGGAGCCAGCCGCCUAAGGUGGGACAGAUGAUUGGGGUGAAGUCGUAACAAGGUAGCCGUAUCGGAAGGUGCGGCUGGAUCACCUCCUUUCUAAGGA